UAGGGAGUAAGUUAUAAUUAAACUAUGGGGCUCAUGACCCUAAAAAGAUUUUUAAUCCUUUCUAA
Molecule: transfer RNA, 65 nt
Filed under: Crassiplana albatrossi
Lineage: Eukaryota; Metazoa; Platyhelminthes; Polycladida; Callioplanidae
Description: tRNA-Met
Source: RNAcentral